Molecule: non-coding RNA, 88 nt
Organism: Pangasianodon gigas (Mekong giant catfish)
Lineage: Eukaryota; Metazoa; Chordata; Actinopteri; Siluriformes; Pangasiidae
Source: the annotation of a GenBank genome assembly
AAUAACCCAGUUAUUCUUGGACUACCCUGGCUUCAGCUCCACGAACCACAGAUCUCAUGGACUGAGGGUCAAAUCAUUCACUGGUCGG